GGGGAAACCCUGACGCAGCGACGCCGUGUGAGGGAAGAAGGCUUUCGGGUCGUAAACCUCUGUCGGGAAGGAAGAACCCCCCAGGUCCGAAUAGGGCCUGGGGCUGACGGUACUUCCAAAGGGAGCCCCGGCCAACUCCGUGCCAGCAGCCGCGGUAAUACGGAGGGUGCAAGCGUUAAUCGGAAUCACUGGGCGUAAAGAGCACGUAGGCGGCCUUGCAAGUCAGAUGUGAAAUCCAACGGCUUAACCGUUGAACUGCAUUUGAAACUGCAAGGCUAGAGUAUGGGAGAGGUAGGUGGAAUUCUCGGUGUAGGGGUAAAAUCCGUAGAGAUCGAGAGGAAUACUCAUUGCGAAGGCGACCUGCUGGAACAUUACUGACGCUGAGGUGCGAAAGCGUGGGGAGCAAACA
Molecule: ribosomal RNA, 409 nt
Filed under: uncultured Wolinella sp.
Lineage: Bacteria; Pseudomonadati; Campylobacterota; Epsilonproteobacteria; Campylobacterales; Helicobacteraceae
Description: bacterial SSU rRNA
Rfam family: Bacterial small subunit ribosomal RNA
Source: RNAcentral